CCCUAAUACAUGCAAGUCGAACGAGAUUAUCCAGCUUGCUGGAUAUGAAAGUGGCGCACGGGUGCGUAACGCGUGAGCAACCUACCUCUGUCAGGGGGAUAGCCCGGCGAAAGUCGGAUUAACACCGCAUGACAUUAUUGAUGUGGCAUCACAUUAUAAUCAAAUAUUUAUAGGACAGAGAUGGGCUCGCGUGACAUUAGCUAGUUGGAGAGGUAACGGCUCACCAAGGCAACGAUGUCUAGGGGCUCUGAGAGGAGAAUCCCCCACACUGGUACUGAGACACGGACCAGACUCCUACGGGAGGCAGCAGUAAGGAAUAUUGGUCAAUGGAGGGAACUCUGAACCAGCCAUGCCGCGUGCAGGAUGACUGCCCUAUGGGUUGUAAACUGCUUUUGUCGGGGAAUAAACCUACGUUUGUAAACGUAGCUGAAUGUACCCGAAGAAUAAGGAUCGGCUAACUCCGUGCCAGCAGCCGCGGUAAUACGGAGGAUCCAAGCGUUAUCCGGAUUUAUUGGGUUUAAAGGGUGCGUAGGCGGUUCUUUAAGUCAGAGGUGAAAGACGGCAGCUUAACUGUCGCAGUGCCUUUGAUACUGAAGAACUUGAAUUAGGUUGAGGAAUGCGGAAUGAGACAAGUAGCGGUGAAAUGCAUANAUAUNUNUAAAACCCCGAUUGCGAAGGCAGCAUUUCCAAGCCUUUAUUACNCUUAUGCNCNAAAACGUGGGGAUNNAACANGAUUAAAUCCCNUGUANU
RNAcentral lists this ribosomal RNA (750 nucleotides) under benzene-decomposing bacterium S5. RNAcentral's name for it is "bacterial SSU rRNA". It matches the Rfam family "Bacterial small subunit ribosomal RNA", at positions 47 to 793 of the family's 1533-position model. The record is from RNAcentral.